AACGCACAUUGCGCCCCUUGGUAUUCCGGGGGGCAUGCCUGUUCGAGCGUCAUUUAAUACCAAUCCCUUCGGGGGUCUUGGGGUAUACCGUCUGGUAGCCCUUAAAAUCAGUGGCGGUGCCUCUCGGCUCUAAGCGUAGUAAUUCUUCUCGCUACAGGGCUCGGGAGACCACCCGCCAGAACCCCCAUACUUCUUAAGGUUGACCUCGGAUCAGGUAGGGAUACCCGCUGAACUUAA
RNAcentral lists this unclassified non-coding RNA (237 nucleotides) under Godronia sp. RNAcentral's name for it is "partial contains 5.8S ribosomal RNA, internal transcribed spacer 2, and large subunit ribosomal RNA". RNAcentral also lists the same sequence under 2 other names. The record is from RNAcentral. Lineage: Eukaryota; Fungi; Ascomycota; Leotiomycetes; Helotiales; Godroniaceae.